Molecule: long non-coding RNA, 1187 nt
Organism: Mytilus californianus (California mussel)
Lineage: Eukaryota; Metazoa; Mollusca; Bivalvia; Mytilida; Mytilidae
Exons: 3
Source: RefSeq, a predicted model, not a curated record
CGAACAUUUAAACAUUAAGAAUUGCGCACCACUAUUCUGUUUGUAAAACACACUAACAGAAGGUGUUGUAUCAUGGCAAAGAGCUCAAGGCAAUUGGAUGGAAUGACCAUAGUCUUAUUUGGGUCACUUGGAAGCGGUAAAAGCUCUACUGGAAACAAUAUCAUAGGAUCAAAACCGUUCAAAAUUGGAAUUGGGACAAUACCCAUUACAACAAAAGUUGAAACAGAGACCGCAUAUCGAGAAAAGUUGGCCAUUCGUGUAAUCGACACACCCGGUCUUCAGAAAUCGUCGGACUUUUCAAAAUUAAGAGAUGAAAUUAAGCGAAUCCUUAGAGACCAUCAGAUAGGGAACGUUACAUAUGCUUUGGUAAUUCAAGUAGGAAGAUAUACAACAGAGGAAAGACAAGUAAUUGAAGAUAUUUUCAAGAAAAAUAAAUUAUUCCUGAAGAAUACCAUUAUUAUUUUCACCAAUAGAGAAGAGCUAUACGACGAGGACAAUCCAGCUGAUCGAACAAUCGAUGGUUGGCUUAAAAAGAAUCCAAGUUUGUUGGCACUAAUGCAGACCUAUAAACUGAAAUACCGAGCAUUUCAAAAUAAAAGACUGCUGGAAGAAGAGAAUGAUCUACAAGUCCGCGAUCUGAUUUCUGCUAUUUGCGAAGAGGAUCAGCCAGCUUCAUAUUGCCCUGUAAGUGACAGUAAGAAAAAGAAACAGAAUUUAAUAUAUGUGUCAAAAGAACAAAUGGGGGAAAAGUUUGGGACGUAUGGCACUGAAUUCUUUGAAGACCAAUUGACAAUACAAAAGAAUGUUGAUGACUACGAAAUGCUGUGAGUGGUGUAGUUUAAUGUAGCAAAUAUGAUGAUGGACAACUUCUGAAAGAAUAUAAAGUAUAUUUAUGCAUAUCUAACCAGCUGUGAAUAUUCGAAGUUAAUACUUUAAAUUUGGAGUAACAAUCAAACAAUUACAUGCAUAUUUUUUUUUUACUGUUGAAUACGUAUUGAUAACUUGAAAACUGUACUGAGACAUAAACUACAUUUUUACAUUCAAACAUUGAAAUUAAUCACCAGAAAAAGAAUUAAAAAAUGUUCACUCUUGAUACUGAUCAAAAGCUGAACAUGUGUAAAUAAAAAUAUUUGACAACAUAAUAUUUUUUAUUUGUAGAGGAGAAAAAUAAAAAAAAAUCUAAUACA